UAUGUGAUCGUCUCUCGCAUAUCAAUAAGCGGAGGAAAAGAAACUAACAAGGAUUCCCCUAGUAACGGCGAGUGAAGCGGGAAGAGCUCAAAUUUGAAAUCUUAAAGGGUUUCCCUUUACGAAUUGUAGUUUAAAGAAGUGUUUUCUGUUGAGGUUUUGGUAAAAGUUCUUUGGAAUAGGACAUCAUAGAGGGUGAGAAUCCCGUAUUUGACCUUUACUUUCAACUUUGUGAUACACUUUCAAAGAGUCGGAUUGUUUGGGAAUGCAGUCCAAAAUGGGUGGUAAAUUUCAUCUAAAGCUAAAUAUUGGCGAGAGACCGAUAGCGAACAAGUACCGUGAGGGAAAGAUGAAAAGAACUUUGAAAAGAGAGUUAAACAGUACGUGAAAUUGUCAAAAGGGAAGCGUUUGACACCAGUGUUGUUUUUCUGAAAAUCAAUUAAAGAACUGUUUAUGCUAAGUUGUUUAGACUUUAUCAGCUAACUGUUUAGUUUUGAGCUUUUCUUUAAUGCACUUUUCAGUUAACAAGUCAACAUCAAUUUCUUUUGCUGUAGAAAAGCUUGAGGAAGGUGGCUUGAGAUUCGUCUUAAGUGUUUAUAGCCUCUUGCCUAUGCAGUCGGAGAGAUUGAGGUCUGCAGCGUAGAUCCUUCGGGGCUAAAUGCAUUUGUGCUAAGUUAUAACAUUUUAUAGACAACUUGUUGACUAUGAUUUGUCUUGUAGCUUACUCGCUUAUGUUAUUUUACCUACGCUUAGGAUGUUGAAGUCAUCGUAUCGCGC
RNAcentral lists this ribosomal RNA (774 nucleotides) under uncultured Neocallimastigales. Its description in RNAcentral is "partial large subunit ribosomal RNA". It matches the Rfam family "Eukaryotic large subunit ribosomal RNA", at positions 24 to 645 of the family's 3401-position model. The record is from RNAcentral. Lineage: Eukaryota; Fungi; Neocallimastigomycota; Neocallimastigomycetes; Neocallimastigales.